RNAcentral lists this ribosomal RNA (876 nucleotides) under uncultured Nitrososphaerota archaeon. RNAcentral's name for it is "bacterial SSU rRNA". It matches the Rfam family "Archaeal small subunit ribosomal RNA", at positions 1 to 884 of the family's 1478-position model. The record is from RNAcentral. Lineage: Archaea; Thermoproteati; Nitrososphaerota.
UUCCGGUUGAUCCUGCCGGACCUGACUGCUAUCGGAUUGAUACUAAGCCAUGCGAGUCAUUGUAGCAAUACAAGGCAUACGGCUCAGUAACGCGUAGUCAACCUACCCUAUGGACGGAAAUAACCUCGGGAAACUGAGAAUAAUAUCCGAUAGAACAUUAUGCCUGGAAUGGUUUAUGUUCCAAAUGAUUUAUCGCCGUAGGAUGGGACUGCGGCCUAUCAGUUUGUUGGUGAGGUAAUGGCCCACCAAGACUAUUACAGGUACGGGCUCUGAGAGGAGUAGCCCGGAGAUGGGUACUGAGACACGGACCCAGGCCCUAUGGGGCGCAGCAGGCGAGAAAACUUUGCAAUGUGCGAAAGCACGACAAGGUUAAUCCGAGUGAUUUCUGCUAAAGAAAUCUUUUGUUAGUCCUAGAAACACUAACGAAUAAGGGGUGGGCAAGUUCUGGUGUCAGCCGCCGCGGUAAAACCAGCACCUCAAGUGGUCAGGAUGAUUAUUGGGCCUAAAGCAUCCGUAGCCGGCUCUGUAAGUCCUCGGUUAAAUCUGUACGCUUAACGUACAGGCUGCCGGGAAUACUGCAUAGCUAGGGAGUGGGAGAGGUAGACGGUACUCGGUAGGAAGGGGUAAAAUCCUUUGAUCUAUUGAUGACCACCUGUGGCGAAGGCGGUCUACCAGAACACGUCCGACGGUGAGGGAUGAAAGCUGGGGGAGCAAACCGGAUUAGAUACCCGGGUAGUCCCAGCUGUAAACUAUGCGAACUCAGUGAUGCAUUGGCUUGUGGCCAAUGCAGUGCUGCAGGGAAGCCGUUAAGUUUGCCGCCUGGGAAGUACGUACGCAAGUAUGAAACUUAAAGGAAUUGGCGGGGGAGCACCACAA